Long non-coding RNA from Sebastes umbrosus (honeycomb rockfish), 501 nucleotides. RefSeq lists it as uncharacterized. The record is from RefSeq and is a predicted model, not a curated record. NCBI's taxonomy places the organism in Eukaryota, Metazoa, Chordata, Actinopteri, Perciformes, Sebastidae. The transcript is spliced from 3 exons.
AGGUCACUGUGUGAUGGAGUAUGGAGGGCUACACUACUGUGAUGCCGUAGUCAAGAGCAACAUAAUGGCACAUUACUAAGGAAGGAAGGACUGGGGCAUCUGUGUUUGGGUUGGCUAUGUCUAAAUCAGCACUCCUUGUCCUAUCACAUCUCAGCGUGAUGGUGUUUUCCACAAUCAAGUUUUACGGUGUGCCAGCAGGACACCGUGUCCACGGGGACUCUCCGGAGAAAGAGGUGAGUACCAGGUGCUGCAUGCGGACCCUCUCAUGCUAUUACCACCAGACUGUCAUGGCUUUCUGUCCCAUUUUACCUUUCCUACACCCUCCCCCAACCCCGCAAGACAACAGGAUGGCACCACAACAGCUGCAUGUUCUGCAGCUUUGUCCAUUUACAGCAUAUUUCAUAGUCUUCGUGGAAUUUUUUUUUUUCCUCCUUAGUUUCGUGAAAUGGAGACCGCCGUGUAGCACAAAACAUGGAGGACUCAUUUUGUGUAGGCAACUUG